Molecule: ribosomal RNA, 194 nt
Filed under: uncultured bacterium
Lineage: Bacteria
Description: partial 16S ribosomal RNA
Rfam family: Bacterial small subunit ribosomal RNA
Source: RNAcentral
CCUACGGGAGGCAGCAGUGGGGAAUUGUUCGCAAUGAGCGCAAGCCUGACGACGCAAUGCCGCGUGGAGGAUGAAGAUCUUCGGGUCGUAAACUCCUGUCGAGCGGGACGAACGGCCAGGGCCUAAUACGCCUUGGGAGUGACGGUACCGCUAAAGGAAGCCCCGGCUAACUCCGUGCCAGCAGCCGCGGUAAU